RNAcentral lists this ribosomal RNA (422 nucleotides) under Verrucomicrobiota bacterium. RNAcentral's name for it is "Verrucomicrobia bacterium partial 16S ribosomal RNA". It matches the Rfam family "Bacterial small subunit ribosomal RNA", at positions 355 to 776 of the family's 1533-position model. Lineage: Bacteria; Pseudomonadati; Verrucomicrobiota. The record is from RNAcentral.
UGGGGAAUAUUGCACAAUGGGCGAAAGCCUGAUGCAGCGACGCCGCGUGAGGGAUGGAGGCCUUCGGGUUGUAAACCUCUUUCAGUAAGGGUGAAGGCUCUCUUUUGUGGAGGGUUGACAGUACUUGCAGAAGAAGCGCCGGCUAACUACGUGCCAGCAGCCGCGGUAAUACGUAGGGCGCGAGCGUUGUCCGGAAUUAUUGGGCGUAAAGGGCUUGUAGGUGGCGUGUCGCGUCUGCUGUGAAAUUCCAGGGCUUAACUUUGGGAUUGCAGUGGGUACGGGCAUGCUAGAGUGCAGUAGGGGAGACUGGAAUUCCCGGUGUAACGGUGGAAUGUGUAGAUAUCGGGAAGAACACCAAUGGCGAAGGCAGGUCUCUGGGCUGUUACUGACGCUGAGAAGCGAAAGCGUGGGGAGCGAACAGG